RNAcentral lists this long non-coding RNA (500 nucleotides) under Mytilus galloprovincialis (Mediterranean mussel). The record is from RNAcentral. Lineage: Eukaryota; Metazoa; Mollusca; Bivalvia; Mytilida; Mytilidae.
AUGAUUUAUUGCAGUUAAACUUCACCCUGAAUUUUAGUUUAUGAAUCAUGGAAAGAAUUGACUUUAAACUUUUAUCUUUUUAAACCCUAAUUGUUCCGUAGAUUCUUUUUAAGCAGCCAUUGAAAUUAAGGUAAAAAUUUUGAAAAAAAUAUGAAAUAUUGGAUUGGAGUCGAAUGCACCCACACGAGCGGGUUCGAACUCACAACCUCAGUGUUGACUGGCUAGUGAUUACAGUAGUAACUAAUUAGACCACUCGGCCACCGAGGCCCCCUAUAACAUUUGAAUAUAAAGAUCUAAGUAUUAAGGAUCAUGAACAGUCGAGCCUGUUUUAAGCAUGUCACUGAUGGGAAGUGUCAAAAGAGGUUCUGAAAUAUUCCCAGUCCAAAAAAAACAAAACGUGGCUGGGAUUGAAACGUGGUUAAGUGUUACAGUUGGAAGAUUUAUUGUUCAUGUUAGCAGACAAAUAUUAAAUGGUGGAUUCUUGCUCUGUAAAUUUGAAG